RNAcentral lists this ribosomal RNA (535 nucleotides) under uncultured bacterium. Its description in RNAcentral is "bacterial SSU rRNA". It matches the Rfam family "Bacterial small subunit ribosomal RNA", at positions 777 to 1314 of the family's 1533-position model. The record is from RNAcentral.
AAUAGAUACCCAGGUAGUCCACGCCGUAAACGAUGGAUACUAGGUGUGGGAGGUAUCGAACCCUUCCGUGCCGCAGUAAACGCAAUAAGUAUCCCGCCUGGGGAGUACGGCCGCAAGGUUGAAACUCAAAGGAAUUGACGGGGGCCCGCACAAGCAGCGGAGCAUGUGGUUUAAUUCGAAGCAACGCGAAGAACCUUACCAGAACUUGACAUCUCCUGCAUUACCCGUAAUUGGGGAAGUCCUUCGGGACAGGAAGACAGGUGGUGCAUGGUUGUCGUCAGCUCGUGUCGUGAGAUGUUGGGUUAAGUCCCGCAACGAGCGCAACCCUUAUUGUUAGUUGCCAUCAUUUAGUUGGGCACUCUAAUGAGACUGCCGGGGACAACUCGGAGGAAGGUGGGGAUGACGUCAAAUCAUCAUGCCCCUUAUGUUCUGGGCUACACACGUGCUACAAUGGGCGCAACAACGGGAAGCAAGCUAGUGAUAGUGAGCAAAUCCCUAAAAAUCGCUCUCAGUUCAGAUUGUAGGCUGAAACUCG